Molecule: ribosomal RNA, 502 nt
Filed under: uncultured bacterium
Lineage: Bacteria
Description: partial 16S ribosomal RNA
Rfam family: Bacterial small subunit ribosomal RNA
Source: RNAcentral
AUUGAACGCUGGCGGCAGGCUUAACACAUGCAAGUCGAGCGGGGUGAUGGUGCUUGCACUAUCACUUAGCGGCGGACGGGUGAGUAAUGCUUAGGAAUCUGCCUGUUAGUGGGGGACAACAUCUCGAAAGGGAUGCUAAUACCGCAUACGUCCUACGGGAGAAAGCAGGGGAUCACUUGUGACCUUGCGCUAAUAGAUGAGCCUAAGUCGUGAUUAGCUAGUUGGUGGGGUAAAGGCCUACCAAGGCGACGAUCUGUAGCGGGUCUGAGAGGAUGAUCCGCCACUGGGACUGAGACACGGCCCAGACUCCUACGGGAGGCAGCAGUGGGGAAUAUUGGACAAUGGGGGGAACCCUGAUCCAGCCAUGCCGCGUGUGUGAAGAAGGCCUUAUGGUUGUAAAGCACUUUAAGUGAGGAGGAGGCUCUUUUGGUUAAUACCCAAGAUGAGUGGACGUUACUCGCAGAAUAAGCACCGGCUAACUCUGUGCCAGCCGCCGCCGUAA